GAUGAACGCUGACAGAAUGCUUAACACAUGCAAGUCAACUUGAGCUUCGGUUUGGGUGGCGGACGGGUGAGUAACGCGUAAAGAACUUGCCUCACAGAUAGGGACAACAUUUGGAAACGAAUGCUAAUACAUGAUAUUAUGAUUAUAUGGCAUCGUAUAAAUAUGAAAGCCUUAUGCGCUGUGAGAGAGCUUUGCGUCCCAUUAGCUAGUUGGAGAGGUAACGGCUCACCAAGGCGAUGAUGGGUAGCCGGCCUGAGAGGGUGCUCGGCCACAAGGGGACUGAGACACGGCCCUUACGACUACGGGAGGCAGCAGUAGAGAAUAUUGGACAAUGGACCAAGAGUCUGAUCCAGCAAUUCUGUGUGCACGAUGAAGUUUUUCGGAAUGUAAAGUGCUUUCAGUUGGGAAGAAAAAAAUGACGGUACCAACAGAAGAAGUGACGGCUAAAUACGUG
RNAcentral lists this ribosomal RNA (454 nucleotides) under uncultured bacterium. Its description in RNAcentral is "partial 16S ribosomal RNA". It matches the Rfam family "Bacterial small subunit ribosomal RNA", at positions 28 to 507 of the family's 1533-position model. The record is from RNAcentral.